This 77-nucleotide transfer RNA is filed under the name Arsenophonus endosymbiont of Aleurodicus floccissimus. RNAcentral's name for it is "tRNA-Asp". It matches the Rfam family "tRNA". Rfam says of the family: Transfer RNA (tRNA) molecules are approximately 80 nucleotides in length. Their secondary structure includes four short double-helical elements and three loops (D, anti-codon, and T loops). Lineage: Bacteria; Pseudomonadati; Pseudomonadota; Gammaproteobacteria; Enterobacterales; Morganellaceae. The record is from RNAcentral.
GGUGAGGUAGUUCAGUUGGUUAGAAUACAGGCCUGUCACGCCGGGGUCUGUGGAUUCCAGUCCCGUCCGCACCGCCA